GUUCCCUCAGAAUGGUUGGAAAUCAUUCAUAGAGUGUAAAGGCAUAAGGGAGCUUGACUGCGAGACCUACAAGUCGAGCAGGGUCGAAAGACGGACUUAGUGAUCCGGUGGUUCCGCAUGGAAGGGCCAUCGCUCAACGGAUAAAAGCUACCCCGGGGAUAACAGGCUUAUCUCCCCCAAGAGUUCACAUCGACGGGGAGGUUUGGCACCUCGAUGUCGGCUCAUCGCAUCCUGGGGCUGUAGUCGGUCCCAAGGGUUGGGCUGUUCGCCCAUUAAAGCGGUACGCGAGCUGGGUUCAGAACGUCGUGAGACAGUUCGGUCCCUAUCCGUCGUGGGCGUAGGAAAUUUGAGAGGAGCUGUCCUUAGUACGAGAGGACCGGGAUGGACAUACCUCUGGUGUACCAGUUGUCGUGCCAACGGCAUAGCUGGGUAGCUAUGUGUGGACGGGAUAAGUGCUGAAAGCAUCUAAGCAUGAAGCCCCCCUCAAGAUGAGAUUUCCCAACUUCGGUUAUAAGAUCCCUCAAAGAUGAUGAGGUUAAUAGGUUCGAGGUGGAAGCAUGGUGACAUGUGGAGCUGACGAAUACUAAUCGAUCGAAGACUUAAUCAA
This 607-nucleotide ribosomal RNA is filed under the name Staphylococcus aureus. RNAcentral describes it as "partial 23S ribosomal RNA". It matches the Rfam family "Bacterial large subunit ribosomal RNA", at positions 2316 to 2925 of the family's 2925-position model. Lineage: Bacteria; Bacillati; Bacillota; Bacilli; Caryophanales; Staphylococcaceae. The record is from RNAcentral.